RNAcentral lists this ribosomal RNA (497 nucleotides) under uncultured bacterium. RNAcentral's name for it is "partial 16S ribosomal RNA". It matches the Rfam family "Bacterial small subunit ribosomal RNA", at positions 28 to 507 of the family's 1533-position model. The record is from RNAcentral.
GAUGAACGCUGGCGGCGUGCCUAAUACAUGCAAGUCGAGCGAACGGACGAGAAGCUUGCUUCUCUGAUGUUAGCGGCGGACGGGUGAGUAACACGUGGAUAACCUACCUAUAAGACUGGGAUAACUUCGGGAAACCGUAGCUAAUACCGGAUAAUAUUUUGAACCGCAUGGUUCAAAAGUGAAAGACGGUCUUGCUGUCACUUAUAGAUGGAUCCGCGCUGCAUUAGCUAGUUGGUAAGGUAACGGCUUACCAAGGCAACGAUGCAUAGCCGACCUGAGAGAGUGAUAGGCCACACGGGAACUGAGACACGGUCCAGACGCCUACGGGAGGCAGCAGUAGGGAAUCUUCCGCAAUGGGCGAAAGCCUGACGGAGCAACGCCGCGUGAGUGAUGAAGGUCUUCGGAGCGUAAAACUCUGUUAUUAGGGAAGAACAUAUGUGUAAGUAACUGUGCACAUCUUGACGGUACCUAAUCAGAAAGCCACGGCUAACUACGUG